This 1041-nucleotide long non-coding RNA is filed under the name Homo sapiens (human). RNAcentral describes it as "non-protein coding lnc-ARF6-15:1". Lineage: Eukaryota; Metazoa; Chordata; Mammalia; Primates; Hominidae. The record is from RNAcentral.
GUUAUACAUUUACAGGAAAAGUCUGGCUUCUUCGAGAGUUGCUUACAGACAGUGCCAGGCCUGUCCCCUCUGGAGACCUGAAGGGUCUGGCCUUAAGUAGGAUCCAGGGCAACUCUCUGCUUUCCCACAUGAAUAGACCUGCCUGGAUGCCUCUGCUCAUCACCACCUCUAUAAAACAAACAGAUUCUCCCAGGACAGAUUCCAUACGUUCAGGGCUCAGGGUGCCUGAACCCAGAAUUCAUUAAAAGCAGUGAAGGGGCAAAAACGGGAGCAGAUGUCAGCAAAGCACAACUGCACUUAGCAAGUUCACCUUUCCAUCCAGAGUUCCUUGCAGGAGGGGCCAGGAGGGAACACAAAACCCUCCUCACUUCCUGAUUUUACAAUCACUCAGCUAGCGGCUACAAUCAGGGUCACUAAUCACAGCUGUUGAACCAGGCCGCCACAUCCUGCCACCAGCAGCCCCGGAAGACACUGUGCAGAGCAGGAGGCAACCCUAUGCCACUGGUUCUCUGGUGUGCAGAGAAGUCUCCAAAUCAAAGAAACCUUAAUGCUUAGUGACAGCUUCUCGUUAAACAAGGUAAACAGUGGUCCAGUGAAAACAUUCUCAAUGUUGCUGAGAAUGUUUCCCUCAACACACUUCUUUUUGGGAGCCAGCUCAGAGGCCCAGCUCUGUGUGCCUUGUGGGUUCAGCUCUGAUUUCUGGGAGCCCUGGGAAUGUAGGAGGUUUGGACCCUGAGAAGUCCCUGGGCCGGCAGUGCUGUGUGUCAGUGUCAAGGCAGUGCAGUGGCAUGGGGCAAGGCCUCUGUGAACUAGUCAGCGGGGAAGGGGCGGGAGGGCAUUGCCAGGUGCCCAAGGCUAUCUCCAGUGCCAGAGCUCCUCCCUCCCCGUCCCCACAUUAUGUGACCAAAGGUCUUUGGGUGUUGCUGCCGGAUGGUGGGUCUUCUGGUCCAGCUGCUCUCUAACACCUGAUGCCCUUUUAUCACCCUCUGUCUCUCAUACUUCCCAGGCCCCGGCCUGAGCCCCAACCCAGGCAAAGUCCCC